AUGAGCUUAUUCCAACAAUCGUGUAUCUUGUUUAGACAUGAAAAACAAACAAAAAAAAAAAACAUUAAAAAAUUGACUAUUGAAAAAAAGAACAUGUUUGAUCCGCGAGCGCGAAAAUAUCCUGGGAUGGACAGAGUGGAGCCGGAUUGUCCUUCGAUCAGCAUACCUUUAUGCUGCCGCUUCCCAACAGACGGCCCAGUCAAAUUCUGGUUCCAAUCAUUUGGGGGUGUCAGGAAUAUCAGAACAACGCACGCACAAAUUCCAGAGCGAUUGUCCUGGUGCACAUGAUGACGGACAACACCGAAAGCAGCCAGGGAUCGAUGAGGGACGAUAACUUUGCCAUCAACAAGCGGGUGAAAAGCAGAUCAAUUGUCACGGAAGGAAGAUGAACAUCCGGUGGACCCCAAAAAUUUGGUUCUGCCUUUUCCACCGAUACUGGAAGUGCCUACAAAGUCCCACAGGUUUUUACGGUUACUGUAAACCGUUGUGACUGCAAAGAUGACUUUUCUCAGCAGGAAAAACCUAACUAAAUGGAAUCCAAAUUCCAGGUUUGUCAUUGCCGCCGAACCUCACUGGCAGAAAAAAAAAGUGCGGAAGCGUACCGUUCCUGGCCGCAGGAGUUCCUGCUUCCGGAGGAGAUGCUCUGGACAACACAGACUAGCCAUUUACGACGCAGAACGGUUUGUAUGCAGUAACCAGCAGUGC
This is a long non-coding RNA of Uranotaenia lowii, 705 nucleotides long. RefSeq lists it as uncharacterized. The record is from RefSeq and is a predicted model, not a curated record. The transcript is spliced from 4 exons. Lineage: Eukaryota; Metazoa; Arthropoda; Insecta; Diptera; Culicidae.